Molecule: long non-coding RNA, 1317 nt
Organism: Tachyglossus aculeatus (Australian echidna)
Lineage: Eukaryota; Metazoa; Chordata; Mammalia; Monotremata; Tachyglossidae
Exons: 4
Source: RefSeq, a predicted model, not a curated record
UCCAGGUAUACUAUUGUUUCUUUCGGUAGGCACUUCAGCAAACCAAGUGAAUGGCCCACCAGAGAAAAGUUGUCACAUUCACUGAUUCAUCAACAUUUUCCCCAGCAGUAGCAGUACCUGUGCCAUCUGUGUUUCGCACUUACAAAGAAACCUCUUUGCAACUGCCAUACAAAUCAGGGGCACUAUCAAGGUCACACUGAAGGGAAUUUCAGGACACCGAGAAGAUGUUUCGACUGCAUGACAAGGGAUCAGAACAUUACUGACCACCAAUGAACCCCAAGGAACUUCUCACCUCCAUAAUAAUGACAAAGACCAGAUUCAUCCAUAUAAGGCCAUUAGAGGAAGACAGCUUUGAAGUGUCAAGUUUUCCGUUAUAGAGCCGGGACUAUCCCAGUCAGAGGAAUUGCUUCACCAGGGAAAGAUCACAGCUUUUAAAAAUAGAACCAGUCAUCUGAGGAAUUCAAGUCCACAGCUGUGCUAGGUGUUCAGACCUGGAGUUAAAGCUCGCCGAAGAGAAGUCAGAGCGGACAUUUAAGAGAUGACAAGGCAAACAGCACCCGGAGCUUAAUUAAAGUCGUGCAUGUAUCUCUCUGUGCAUAAACCCCCGUACAUCAUUAUUAGAUGCUGCAAUUCUCCAUCUCCUCCUCCCCUCUGCCCCUCCCCAGACUACCACCAGGACUGCAGCGAUUUGAUAUAAUCUUCUCUCGUCCAACCUUCCCCCCGAAAACAGCAUAAAAACGGUGCACACUGUAACCUUCAGUCAUCAGGUAAAUAACAACACACGGAAUGCAAGCGAUCGGCUUUGUCUGUGUUUAAACUUGAUGCCCACAUCGCCACACGCAGCAGCCUGAAAAGUGUUCCAGCCUCGAGCCUCUGCUCUCAAACAGAAGGCACAGAAAAGAAUGGAGAUUUGCAGAUCUGAUAAUGAGCCAGUUAAUGACAUAAAUGAUACCUCAAGAACCUCACUAAACCAUCCAGGUCCUACAAUUUAAUCUGUAAUAAAUACUCCUGCAUCAUUGUGAGAUGGCUGCUCAUAAUGGCAAAUGAAAUAUGCUGGUAUGAUAGGUACAAUAAAUCUGGAUUUUCCUAUGGUUCCCUCAGGCUAGAACAAUAUGUAACCACAGUGCGCAUUGUCAGGAUGAGCAGAUCUCAAAGCCAUCAUAAAAUCUAAAUGGGGACUAAUUAAGAGGCCCUUCCCUUCCAGAGUUACUAUUUCUAUUGACAUUUUCCAUGCAUGAGCCCCUCCAUAACAUCAUAAGUCACCAAGAUAAGAACUCCCUAGAUUAUAGGGAAAAAGCUUUAAUGGAGAAGUUGAAC